This 960-nucleotide long non-coding RNA is filed under the name Homo sapiens (human). Its description in RNAcentral is "HSALNT0107908". Lineage: Eukaryota; Metazoa; Chordata; Mammalia; Primates; Hominidae. The record is from RNAcentral.
GAUUAACACUAUUUAGCAUGCCAGGCUGGGUUGUAACACAGUAGCCAUAUAUUUAUUUUAUUUCAUUUUGAUUUUAGACCUGCAGUGUAUUGCCAGACCCCAGGUCAACACAGCCACCACAACCCGAGCUGCCAUUUUCAUUUCCUGCCAUGGAUAUCUGACAGUCCUUCAUACUGAAGAAAAGGUGAAGUAAGGAAGAUGGUUGAAUAAGUACCAAACCCUCCUCUGAAAGGGACACCAACUCAACAAUAUGCAAAACAUUCUCCUUUGUGAGAAACCCAGAGACCAGCCAAGAGACUCCUAUAGCCCAAAGGAGAUGUGGGGAUUCCUCACCAUCAGCAAAGAAGUGAUCAAUUCUGCAGAAACACCAGCUGGGCUAACUCAAUUCAAUUCAAUUCAAUUCUCACACUCUACCUCGAUGUAGCAACUGAGCUACAUCUAACUCUAUUCAAUUCUCACACUCUACCUUGAUGUAGCAACUGAGCCACAGGUUGAAGGUUCAGUUUCACGAGAUUGCCUCCCACUGGCCACCGGUGAUCAUUUUAACCUUCAGCCCCAACUCAUCCCUAGAGCCUUGGUCUAUCUGGCAACCAAAUGUCAUCAUCUAUGGGGGCCAACAGCUGUCAGCCAACUUAUUAGCAUAUUAGAAGACUUUGGAGAUUCUAAGGAUUCAAUUCAAUUCUCUAACUCAAUUCAGUUCUCACACUCUACCUCGUAGCAAAUGAGCCACAGGUUGAAGGCUCAGUUUCAUGAGAUUGCCUCCCAUUGGCCACCAGUGAUCAUUUUAACCUUCAGCCCCAACUCAUCCCUAGAGCCUUGGUCUAUCUGGCAACCAACUGUCAUCAUCUGUGGGGGCUAACAGCUAUCAGCCAACUCAUUAGCAUAUGAAAAGACUUUGGAGAUUCUAAGGAUUUUAGGAGUUGUAUUCCAGGAAAUGGGGUCAAAGACCAAAUGUAUAUU